RNAcentral lists this ribosomal RNA (347 nucleotides) under uncultured bacterium. RNAcentral's name for it is "bacterial SSU rRNA". It matches the Rfam family "Bacterial small subunit ribosomal RNA", at positions 445 to 793 of the family's 1533-position model. The record is from RNAcentral.
UGGGUAUGUUAAUAGCAUAUUCAUUUGACGUUAGCUGCAGAAGAAGCACCGGCUAACUCCGUGCCAGCAGCCGCGGUAAUACGGAGGGUGCGAGCGUUAAUCGGAAUUACUGGGCGUAAAGCGCAUGCAGGUGGUUUGUAAGUCAGAUGUGAAAGCCCGGGGCUCAACCUCGGAAUUGCAUUUGAAACUGGCAAACUAGAGUACUGUAGAGGGGGUAGAAUUUCAGGUGUAGCGGUGAAAUGCGUAGAGAUCUGAAGGAAUACCGGUGGCGAAGGCGGCCCCCUGGACAGAUACUGACACUCAGAUGCGAAAGCGUGGGGAGCAAACAGGAUUAGAUACCCUGGUAG